GACGAACGCUGGCGGCGUGCCUAACACAUGCCAGUCGAACGGAAAGGCCCUGCGUUUGUGCGCUGCUCGAGUGCCGAACGCGGGAGUAACACGUGUGUAACCUGCUCUUGACUUUCGGAUAACUUCACGAAACUGGGCCUAAUACCGUAUAGCAGAUCCUGCAGCAUGGUGGGUAUUGGAAAGUUUCGGCUUUUCGGGAUGGAUGUGCGGCUUAUCAGUUUGUUGGUGGGCUAGUGGCUUACCAAGGCUUUGAAGGGUAGCCGACAUGGGAGGGUGACCGGGCACAAUGGGCCUGCGGUACGGCCCAGAGUGCAAUGGGGGGCAGUGGUGGGAAGUCUUGCACACUGGGCGGAAGUCGGAGGCAGCGACGUCGGGUGCGGAAAGACGGUUUGUGGGGUAUAAACCGCAUUAGCCUGUGACGAAGCGUGAGUGACGGUAACGGGUAAAGAAGCACCGGCUAACUACGUG
Molecule: ribosomal RNA, 468 nt
Filed under: uncultured bacterium
Lineage: Bacteria
Description: partial 16S ribosomal RNA
Rfam family: Bacterial small subunit ribosomal RNA
Source: RNAcentral